ACGGAGGGUGCAAGCGUUAUUCGGAAUUACUGGGCGUAAAGCGCGUGUAGGCGGUCCCGCAAGUCUGAUGUGAAAGCCCCGGGCUUAACCCGGGAAGUGCAUUGGAAACUGUGGGACUUGAGUACGGGUAAGGAAGGCGGAAUUCGCGGUGUAGCGGUGAAAUUCAUAGAUAUCGCGCAGAACACCGAUGGCGAAGGCAGCAAACUGGGCCAUAACUGACGCUGAGACACGAAAGCGUGGGGAUCAAACAG
RNAcentral lists this ribosomal RNA (251 nucleotides) under uncultured prokaryote. Its description in RNAcentral is "partial 16S rRNA". It matches the Rfam family "Bacterial small subunit ribosomal RNA", at positions 525 to 775 of the family's 1533-position model. The record is from RNAcentral.